AGGACGAACGCUGGCGGCGUGCUUAACACAUGCAAGUGGAGCGACGAACCAGGGCUUGCCCUGGGGCAGAGCCGCGAACGGGUGAGUAACACGUGGGUUACCUGCCUUGAUGACCGGGACAACCCGAGGAAACUCGGGCUAAUACCGGAUGUGCCCGCAAGGGGAAAGGAAGCUUCGGCCUCCGCAUCAAGAUGGGCCCGCGGCCCAUUAGCUUGUUGGUGAGGUAACGGCUCACCAAGGCUUCGAUGGGUAGCUGGUCUGAGAGGAUGACCAGCCAGACUGGGACUGAGAACGGCCCAGACUCCUACGGGAGGCAGCAGUAGGGAAUUUUCCACAAUGGGCGAAAGCCUGAUGGAGCAACGCCGCGUGCAGGAUGAAGGCUCUAGGGUCGUAAACUGCUUUAUCUGUGACGAAUAUGACGGUAGCAGAUGAAUAAGGAUCGGCUAACUCCGUGCCAGCAGCCGC
Molecule: ribosomal RNA, 465 nt
Filed under: uncultured bacterium
Lineage: Bacteria
Description: SSU rRNA
Rfam family: Bacterial small subunit ribosomal RNA
Source: RNAcentral